Mugil cephalus (flathead mullet) is the source of this 2195-nucleotide long non-coding RNA. RefSeq lists it as uncharacterized. NCBI's taxonomy places the organism in Eukaryota, Metazoa, Chordata, Actinopteri, Mugiliformes, Mugilidae. The record is from RefSeq and is a predicted model, not a curated record. The transcript is spliced from 4 exons.
GAUGGUUUAGAUGCUUUAAGUGAGCUCAGGAAGAUCAAUUAGGAAGAAAGAAUUUAAGUAUUGACUGGGUCCUACAGAGGUUUCUAAUGCCACAGUACUUGCAUCUUUGGCAGCUGGAAGGAUGCUAUGAAUUUUGUUCCUAAUGCUUAGACUUAGGAUCCAGUUACUGUUAUACACAGCCAUCGGCUAUAAACUGAGGAUUGGCUUACUGCAUAGGUCUUCAACAGAGGGUCUGUGACCCCUAGUGGGUCCACAGAAGUACUCCAGCGGGGGUUCCCAGGUGAAAUCCCGUGUAUGUAUGUAUGUUUAUGUCAGGUGUGUUUAAAUUUAUGGCAGUUGCAAUAGCCUAAAAAGGUUGAAGACCCCUGGCUUACUGCUUACAUUGCUUAAAGUUAUGUUUGGAAAUGUCCAUAUCUUAGCUAAGCCAAGAAUGUCAAAGAUUUCUACACUGAUUAACUUAAGUGUUGUUUUAAAGGUCACAGCAACUUCUAAUUUGGCCUUUGGCCGUGACGGAAGUUACUGUGGUCUGUUCACAGUGAGAGUUCAGUCGUGGUUCUUCUGGCAUUGUGUGCUGACGUCAGAGCAACUGCAUGAAACCCAACUUAUUUCUAUUCUGUUGUUUCUGUUAAAGCAGUUGUGUCGUGUGGAUAAAUUAUGAGCUUGGGCAAAAUUCUGCACAGAAAUGCAUGUGGUUCUUCCUGCUCGUUGGAGACUGACUGGUCUAAAAAUCAAUUUUUGAGACACACGCAUCAGCUCAUACUUCUGCAAAAGCCACGAAUCUGAGGUUAUGGCAACAGAAGUCAAGUGGAAAGUCUUGUGUGUGUGCGUCCUCGUCUAUAAACUACAACACACUGUCGACCAACGGCUCACUGAGAGCUGCAUUGUUGUUUAGAUGUCAUUACAAGUAUGGGUGGAGGUAAACUGUGGUUUGUUCUGCUUCUGAGGCUGAUGUUUCUCACUGACAGCAAAGGGGUACAUCAGUAUCUUGUGAAGACCAUUGGUAAAGAACCAGAUGUCACUCCACUAUGCACCAAUACAACUGAGAAUGUUAUCACAUUCAUAAUUUGUAAGAUCAGAACUGAGAUGAGCCGGGGAAAAACGUGUUGUCUGUUCUAUGAUCAUGGACAAGACUUUGUACAUGAAUGUGACUCCAGAUUCACACUAGUGAAGGAAAAUCACACCGUGUUUCUACACUUGAUCAAUUUAACACCAAAGGAAAAUGGGAACCACACCUGUGAGUGUUCAUAUGUUGGUGGAACACAGUUUCUUCAUCUGAAUAUCACUGUGAAAGAUAAAGAGACCAGUGGUUCUUUUAUGACAAGAUUCAUUUUUAUCACCACUUCUACAGCACUUAUCAUCGUGACUGGAGUUGUCCUUGGACUUAUCGUGAGGAAAAUUCAUUCCAGAAUGAAGACAACCCAGACGACCAAUACACAAGCCUCAGGCAACCACAAAGGGAUCUGUACCAUAUACUCGAGUGCCAACAACACAAAGCAUAUGACAAGAUGCUACAUUCAGCCUACAGCUACUGCCAAUUUGGAACAAGAACUAAGCAGAAGAGCUGAAACAGAGACUGACCAUAUGUGUGAAAUCUAUGAAAACAUUUAACCCAAGUGUCAAGACAUGUGUCCGGUUGUUGUGAGAGUGUUGAAAAUAACUUUGUUGCUGAUGCUGGUUGCAGACUGAGAUUGUUUACAAGAGAAGGAAAGACACUCGAACUGAGCAGACAGGGUGUUAACUAAAAUGUCCGUGUGUGUUUCAUAAAUAGUUGUGGUUUAUCUGAAUGGUGAGGCAUAAAUACAUAAUAUAAAGAAAGUGUUAAAACUCUUUAUCAUUAUUACUAAUGUCCACUUAUGAUGACACCGCACAGAAAGAAGACUAAAGAUCAAGUUACUGUUAUACACAGCCAUUGGCUAUAACGUGAUAAUUAGCUUACUGCUUACAUUGCUUAAAGUUAUAACACAUCAUUUUACAAAUUUAUGUGCAUUAAAGAAAUGAAACUGCGCAAAAUGAAUGUGUUUUUGUUUUAUUUGUGACUGUGUUAGUGUUUGGAAAAGUCCAUAUCUUAUGUAAGCCAAGACUGUCAAAGAUUUCUACAUUGAUUACCUUUAAAGCAUGGUUUUAAAGUUCACAGCAACUUCUAAUUUGGCCUUUGGCCAUGACGGAAGUUACUGUGGUCUCUUAGCAGUGACAGU